CUACGUGCCAGCAGCCGCGGUAAUACGGAAGGUCCGGGCGUUAUCCGGAUUUAUUGGGUUUAAAGGGAGCGUAGGCCGGAGAUUAAGUGUGUUGUGAAAUGUAGACGCUCAACGUCUGACUUGCAGCGCAUACUGGUUUCCUUGAGUACGCACAACGUUGGCGGAAUUCGUCGUGUAGCGGUGAAAUGCUUAGAUAUGACGAAGAACUCCGAUUGCGAAGGCAGCUGACGGGAGCGCAACUGACGCUUAAGCUCGAAGGUGCGGGUAUCGAACAGGAUUAGAUACCCUGGUAGUCCGCACAGUAAACGAUGGAUGCCCGCUGUUGGUACCUGGUAUCAGCGGCUAAGCGAAAGCAUUAAGCAUCCCACCUGGGGAGUACGCCGGCAACGGUGAAACUCAAAGGAAUUGACGGGGGCCCGCACAAGCGGAGGAACAUGUGGUUUAAUUCGAUGAUACGCGAGGAACCUUACCCGGGCU
RNAcentral lists this ribosomal RNA (477 nucleotides) under uncultured bacterium. Its description in RNAcentral is "bacterial SSU rRNA". It matches the Rfam family "Bacterial small subunit ribosomal RNA", at positions 501 to 981 of the family's 1533-position model. The record is from RNAcentral.